ACAUUAAACAAUAAAUAUAAAUAAGAAAAACACUUUGUUUGUUUCAGAAAUUGUGUAUAUAUUUUGAUGAUAUCGUUGCGAUUUUUACACAAUUAUCAACACAUCAACAGUACCACAAAUACUUUUUAUAGUGAUGUAAUGGUCGGAACAAUAUCGUCAUGAUACAAAAUGUGUUUUAUUAUUUAUAAUUGUUUAAUUCAAGUACAAAAUUAACAAAUUUUUUUAUUGUGAUGGAACUUUUGGCUGUUUGUUUUACAUUUUCAGAUUUAAACAUUCAUCUUUGACUGUUUCACUUUGUAAUUUGUUUCUUUUAAUGAAUAAGAUUAAACCAACAAUCCGCCAAUUAAGACGUUCUCGUGGCUGAGUUCUGGGAUAACGAUGGAGCCAUCAUCACCAUUGGGACCUGGUACAUCCGAGCAUGGAUCUUCGCCAUCCGUCCGAGGACCGUAGUGGAUCGCGUGUGUCGGGUCGGGAGUGUUCUGGUGCGUCCGAAUUCGAACUCGGAAGCGUCCAACCCUCGGAAUCUCGGAUGUUCCGAGAUCCUGAGUUUUGGAAACUUCGGAAUUCGAAUCUCAGGACCUCCAAAACUAUGAAUCCCCUUUCGGGAUUCAUUUUUUUGGAGAUCUUGAGUUUCGCAUUGCGAAGUUCCCGAAACUCAGCAUCUCGGGACUUCCAAAUUUCGAGUGUUGGAUACUUUCAAGUUCAAAUUUGGAUGCACCAAUCGCCGGGCCUUGUCCCGGACGGUCUUCGAAUAAGCAAAACAUAACUUACUAAACCUGGUAGGCGUGAAAAAUUCAUUUUUGUCCUUUUUUUUUAAAUAAAUAAAAAACAUUUUUAAGGUUUA
Molecule: long non-coding RNA, 844 nt
Organism: Agrilus planipennis (emerald ash borer)
Lineage: Eukaryota; Metazoa; Arthropoda; Insecta; Coleoptera; Buprestidae
Exons: 2
Source: RefSeq, a predicted model, not a curated record